Arachis ipaensis is the source of this 3813-nucleotide non-coding RNA. The record is from RefSeq and is a predicted model, not a curated record. Lineage: Eukaryota; Viridiplantae; Streptophyta; Magnoliopsida; Fabales; Fabaceae.
UACUCCCACUCUUUUAUUCUUGCUUGGGUUGGGGAUGUUGUUCUACCACUUGACAGUUAAGAAAUCAGAGCAGUUAAAUCCUGGCCGUUGAUAUCGCUUUCUAAAAAAAAAAACCACUUCAGCUUUGAGUGAGCAUAGUGGAGACUGGAGAGUAUAAUAGUUUUUUAUAAUUUGAGCAAAGCUAGCUAGCUCUGUGAAAAACCAAAGAGAAUGGAGAAUUACCUGAAUGAGAAUUUCGGAGAGGUGAAAGCCAAGAAUUCAUCGGAGGAAGCGCUUCAGAGAUGGAGGAAGCUUUGCUGGCUUGUUAAGAACCGCAAGAGGAGGUUUCGGUUCACUGCCAACCUCUCUAAGCGAUUCGAAGCUGAGGCUAUCAGACGCUCCAAUCAGGAGAAAUUCAGAGUUGCAGUGUUGGUAUCGCAAGCUGCUCUUCAGUUUAUCCAUGGUUUAAGUUUGUCAAGUGAGUACACUGUACCAGAGGAAGUUAAAGCUGCAGGUUUUGAAAUCUGCGCCGAUGAGCUAGGAUCAAUUGUAGAAGGACGCGAUGUGAAGAAAUUGAAAAUUCAUGGUGGGGUUGAAGGAAUUGCUAACAAACUCGAUACCUCUGUCAAUGAUGGCAUAUCAACAUCUGAGCACAUUCUGCAAAAGAGGAAAGAUAUUUAUGGAAUUAAUAAAUUCACGGAAAGCCCACCCCAGGGAUUUUGGGUUUAUGUAUGGGAAGCCCUUCAAGAUACAACUCUUAUGAUACUUGCUGUAUGUGCUUUGGUCUCUUUGGUGGUUGGAAUAGUCAUGGAAGGAUGGCCCAAGGGUGCACAUGAUGGACUUGGUAUUGUUGCAAGCAUAUUGCUUGUGGUGUUUGUUACUGCCACUAGUGAUUACAGACAAUCCUUGCAGUUUAAGGAUCUAGAUAAAGAGAAGAAAAAAAUUGUGGUGCAGGUCACCCGAAAUGGUUGUAGACAGAAGCUUUCAAUAUAUGAUUUACUUCCUGGGGAUAUUGUACAUCUUAAUAUUGGAGACCAGGUCCCUGCUGAUGGGCUUUUUGUCUCUGGUUUCUCUCUGUUAAUAAAUGAAUCAAGUUUGACUGGAGAGAGUGAACCAGUGAAUGUCAGUAACCUAAAUCCUUUUCUUCUCUCAGGAACCAAAGUUCAGGAUGGAUCGUGCAAGAUGCUUGUGACAACUGUUGGAAUGAGAACCCAGUGGGGUAAACUAAUGGCUACUCUAAGUGAAGGGGGAGAUGAUGAAACUCCACUGCAGGUUAAACUCAAUGGUGUAGCUACUAUUAUUGGGAAAAUUGGCCUUUUUUUUGCUGUUGUGACUUUUUCUGUGUUGGUCCAAGGACUGUUCAGCCGCAAGCUGCAAGAAGGAUCCCAGUGGACAUGGUCUGGUGAUGAUGCCAUGAAAAUUGUGGAGUUCUUUGCUAUUGCAGUUACUAUUGUUGUCGUUGCUGUCCCAGAGGGUUUACCUUUGGCUGUUACAUUGAGUCUUGCUUUUGCCAUGAAAAAGAUGAUGAAUGAUAAGGCACUUGUUCGUAAUUUGGCUGCUUGUGAGACAAUGGGCUCUGCCACUACUAUCUGCAGUGACAAGACUGGCACACUAACUACUAACCAUAUGACUGUUGUAAAAGCUUGCAUAUGUGGGAAGAUUAAAGAAGUAAAGGGCUCUAAAGUGCCUUCUGAUUUCUCAUCUGAUAUUCCUGAUUCUGCUGUGGCAAUUUUACUUCAAUCAAUAUUUAACAACACUGGGGGAGAAGUUGUAAAAAACAUGGAUGAGAAGGUUGAGAUUCUGGGAUCACCGACAGAGACUGCACUCUUGGAAUUUGGGCUGUCACUUGGAGGUGAUUUCCACAAGGAGCGACAAGCAGGGAAACUUGUGAAAAUUGAACCAUUUAACUCUCUAAAGAAGCGCAUGGGAGUGGUUCUACAGCUUCCUGAAGGUAGCUUCAGAACACAUUGCAAAGGUGCCUCUGAAAUAAUUCUAGCUGCAUGUGAAAAGGUUGUGAACUCAAAUGGUGAGGUUGUUCCCCUUGAAGAAGACUCUAUCAAUUACUUGAAGGAUACGAUCGAAAAAUUUGCUGAUGAAGCUCUCCGGACCCUUUGCCUUGCAUAUGUGGAUAUUGAUGAUCAUUUUUCAGUUGAGACUCCUAUCCCCAAUCGAGGUUACACAUGUAUAGGAAUUGUGGGUAUUAAAGAUCCUGUUCGCCCUGGAGUUCGAGAGUCUGUUGCCAUUUGUAGGUCAGCUGGUGUUACUGUUAGGAUGGUUACUGGAGACAACAUAAACACUGCAAAGGCUAUUGCUAGAGAAUGUGGAAUUUUAACGGAUGGAAUUGCAAUUGAAGGCCCUGAGUUCCGUGAAAAGAGUGAGGAAGAAUUGCUUAAAAUAAUUCCAAAACUUCAGGUGAUGGCUCGAUCUUCUCCCAUGGAUAAGCAUACCCUGGUGAAACAAUUGAGGACAACAUUUGAAGAGGUUGUUUCAGUUACCGGUGAUGGUACAAAUGAUGCGCCUGCACUUCAUGAAGCAGAUAUUGGGCUUGCAAUGGGCAUUUCUGGAACUGAGGUGGCAAAAGAAAGCGCUGAUGUCAUAAUACUGGAUGAUAAUUUUUCAACUAUUGUGACUGUGGCCAAAUGGGGCCGAUCUGUCUACAUAAACAUACAGAAAUUUGUGCAGUUCCAGCUAACUGUAAACAUUGUUGCUUUGAUUGUCAACUUCUCGUCUGCCUGUUUGACUGGAAAUGCUCCCCUCACUGCUGUUCAACUUCUAUGGGUCAACAUGAUUAUGGACACUCUUGGAGCACUUGCUCUAGCCACUGAACCUCCUACUGAUGAUUUGAUGAAAAGACCACCUGUCGGUAGGAAAGGAAACUUUAUCAGUAAUGUGAUGUGGAGGAAUAUCUUGGGGCAGUCUCUAUAUCAGUUUGUUGUACUUUGGUUCCUCCAGACAAGAGGAAAAGCAGCUUUUCAUCUUGAUGGACCAGAUUCAGAAUUGAUAUUGAAUACACUCAUUUUCAACUCAUUUGUGUUCUGUCAGGUUUUCAAUGAGAUCAGUUCCAGAGAUAUGGAGAAGAUUAAUGUUUUUGAAGGUAUAUUGAAGAAUUAUGUGUUUGUAGCGGUCCUCACUUGCACUGUCAUCUUCCAAAUCAUAAUUGUCGAAUUUUUGGGCACCUUUGCAAACACCUCCCCACUUACCUUGAAGCAGUGGUUUGGUAGUGUUUUCUUUGGAGUCCUUGGAAUGCCAAUUGCAGCAGCUUUAAAAAUGAUACCUGUGGGAUCUACCUAAAGUCGAUGCAGACAGAUUAGGUACAUUCUUCCUCAUUCUGUGUUCUCAAACGUAUACCAAGGAUCUUGUUUGCAUAUUGCCUCUUUAAAUAGAAACCAAUUUUACCAAGUCUUCUUUGUGGGAAGUCUGGUGGGCUAACAAAUUAGAGGAGGCUAAACUUGCUACUUGUUGCUGGAGUUGGAGGAGAGAAAAUAUACAUUUUGGAUGCUUGUUGUGACUAUUUAAAGUUAUAUAAAAAACAUUUCAUACAAUGAGACUUUUUUGUGGCUGGUUCAAGGAAAUAGUGUAAAGUUGAAAUUAUCAUCAUCAUGGAUAUCGAAAGAUCAAAUGCAGGUUUCAUCAUCCAGGUGGGAUUUAAGUAUUUAACCGAGAAUUUAGUUUGGAUUUCUAAGCGUCAGAUAAUCCCAAGUGAGCUUACUCUAACCACAUUGUGGAUAACUCUCUUAUGAGAUUCUAAAAUGAAAAAUAAAAACUAAAAAAUAAAAAUAAUAUGUAAUUGAUUUAUUCUUAUAUAAUGAUGAAAAGGAGUGGUAUUUUUACUCA